Camellia sinensis is the source of this 1455-nucleotide non-coding RNA. The record is from RefSeq and is a predicted model, not a curated record. Lineage: Eukaryota; Viridiplantae; Streptophyta; Magnoliopsida; Ericales; Theaceae.
CUACAGGAAAAAUGGGAUAUGGUGGCGUUUUUUUAACGACGUUUUUUUGAACGUCACUUUUAUUAAUAUUUAACGGCGUUUUAUAAACGCCACCUAUUCUUUAAAAUAAAACUACACCGUUUUAUAAUAGGAGUCGCUUUUAAACGCCUCCAAAUCCGUUAGCCUCAUGCGCCUCCUCUGUCCCUCUUUGUUGAAACCCUUAUUUUGAAUCUGAGAUGUAAUACGCACGCAUCUCUCUCUCUUUCUCUCAACCCUCUCAUUCUCACACCUUCAAAUCUCGCCUCUCUCCUGCUCAGCCCCAAUUGCUUCUAAACCCUCGAGAGCGAUUUUCUUUGAGAUUCAGAUUCAUGCAGGUUCACUUUGAGAUUCAGAGCGAUUUCGAUUUUGAAGAUCUCUCUCUCGAUUUCAAAGCUCCACCGUCUCUCUCUCUCCCUAGAUCUGGCCGGUAAUCAUAGUUUUAUGAGAGAAGAAAGAGGACAGGGACUGGGAGCUUGCGAAGAGAGAGGCAGUGCUUGAUUUCUCAGAGAUUCAGAUCGGUCUCAGAGAUUUCAUCUCUGAGCGAUUUCGAUUUUGAAGUUCUCUCUCUCAAUUUCGAGGCUCCACCGCGACCACCAUCUGCACCAGCUAGGUGGUGAUGAAGUGUAGAGAUCGGUUACAUGAACUUGUAAAGGAAGAGAUAGAGAAUAAGGAUUCGAGUACGGAGGAGUGGAAGAUCGUGAUGGAGAGAAGCUUCAAACGCAUGGACAAUGAGGUGAUUGCAUGGAACAACAUUCAUUUUUUGUUCUGUCCAGAUUUUUUUCUUUUCUUCCUCUUUUUCUUUGUUCUGUCCAGAUUUAUCUUCCUCUUCGAUUCACUUUACUUUUUCAGGGCAGGUUAGUUUUUUUUGUUUUUUUGAUGCACAAGAUAGGGAUUCAUAGCCAAAUGACAACUAAUGUUAAAAGGUAGUACAUAUGCAGAGGAAGAGAGAGUAAAGUGAAAAGCCCUUAUGCUUUUGGAUUUGCUCUACCCUUGAACACCCUACCCUCCAGGACCUUUUCUUUAUCAUUGCCACAAGGGACUGGAUAGUGUAAUUGUUUGCGCAGUAAGAUGAGCUUUGGUAGCACCAGUGGAGGUUCUGGUAGUAGAACUUCUCAAAGGACAUUUGAGUUUGGAAGAACCAAUGUGGUCAGGCCUAAAGGGAAGCACCAAGCUACUAUAGUUUGGCUACAUGGCCUUGGUGAUAAGGGAUCAAGGUACAAAACAUUCUUCAACAGAUGGUAUCUAGACCAGUGAAGAUUACAAAUUCUAUGCUAUAUCAGUUGAGUUGAGUGAAUUUAGCAACAAAGACAUGAUAUUAAAUUAAAUCAUAACUCACGGGGUUUGUCUUAAUGUUUUUCCUAUUAUUUUUUGGCAAAUGUUAAAACAUGAAUUGUGGAUAUGUUAUUUUUUAGUUAAUGGUGAUUGGUUAUUAAAUUA